GAAAGGACGGGUUUGAUCCUGGCCCAGAUGGAACGCUGGCGGUGCGUCUAACACAUGCAAGUCGACUGGGCAUUGCCCAGGGCGUCCGGGUGAGUAAUAGACAGGAAUACUACCCAGAGGAAUGGACCAAGGGAGGGAAACCCCCGAAUGUCCAGUCAAAAAGGAAGUUCCGCCUCUGGAGGGUCCUGUUUCGGAUUAGGUCGUAGGUGGUUUAUGCCCAUCCUAGCCGAUGAUCCGUCGCUGAUAUGAGAGUAUGAUCAGCCACACUGGAACUGAAAAGGGUUCAGACCUGAGAUCAGGGCAGCAGUGAAGAAUCUUGCACACUGGGGGAAACCCUGAUGCAGCGACACCGCGUGAAGGAGGUUGACAGCGCACUGUUGUAAACUUCAGAAUUUGGCUCUAUGAUGAAGGGUCAAACUAUCAGCCCCGGCAAACUUCGUGCCAGCAGCCGCGGUAAUACGAAGGGGGCGAGUGUUCAUCGGAAUGACUGGGCGUGAAGGGUGUCUAGGCGGAGGCGCACUCAUCGGGUUAAAGCCCUGGAAGAAUCGAGGAGAAGCUCGGUGAAAGGCGCCCUCAUGGGUCUGGGAGAGGAGGACGGAAGGCUCGAGGAAGCGGUGUAAUGCAGUGAUCUCGAGUCGAAGGCCAAUGAGCGAAGGCUGUCCUCUGGCCCAGCACCGACGCUGACGCACGAAAGCGUGGGGAGCGAAGAGGAUUAGAGACCCUCGUAGUCCACAGCUGACAACGUUGUGCUCCAUCUAAGGGUUGAAAAAUUCUUAGGGAUCAAGGUGUACGCCGGAGAGCACCGCCUGGGGAGUACGGCGGCAGCGCUGAAACUCAAAGGAAUUGACGGGGGUCCACACAAGCAGUGGAGCAUGGGGCUUAAUGCGAUGAUACGCGCAAAACCUUACCAACCCUUCCAUCCCAUUUUUAGAAUGAUGAGGCGUACUGCAUGGCUGUCGUCAGUUCGUGAUUUGUGUCCUAUGAUUCAUUUCAGAAACGAGCAAAACCCGCAUUCAUAGAAAAAGUCUAUGAAGACUGCCCUCGAGAAGGGGGAGGAAGGCGCGGAUGACGUCAAGUCCUUAUGGUCGUUAUGGGUUGGGCUGCACCUGUGCUACAAUGGAGGCUUCAAUAAGUGAUCGAGAGGGAAACCUGGAGACAAUCCUUAAAGGCCUUCCUAGUUCGGAUCGGGGGCUGCAACUCGCCCUCGUGAAGGAGGAAUUGCGAGUAAUCGCGGAUCAGAAUGCCGCGGUGAACACGUACCUGGACCUUGUACACACCGCCCGUCACACUUUGGAAAUUUUUCUCAGGUGAAGUACAGGGGUACUCUAAGAGCUUUUUCAAGAGACCUUAGAGAAGCUUGUCCCACCCUGUCAAAAGUAACUGAAGUGAAGUCGUAACAAGGUAAGGGUAGGGGAACCUGCCCUUGGAAGAUGACCACC
RNAcentral lists this ribosomal RNA (1439 nucleotides) under Prasinoderma coloniale. RNAcentral describes it as "SSU rRNA". It matches the Rfam family "Bacterial small subunit ribosomal RNA". Lineage: Eukaryota; Viridiplantae; Prasinodermophyta; Prasinodermophyceae; Prasinodermales; Prasinodermaceae. The record is from RNAcentral.